This 640-nucleotide ribosomal RNA is filed under the name uncultured bacterium. RNAcentral describes it as "bacterial SSU rRNA". It matches the Rfam family "Bacterial small subunit ribosomal RNA", at positions 202 to 842 of the family's 1533-position model. The record is from RNAcentral.
UAAAGAAUCCUCGGGUCCGGAUGGGCACGCGUGGCAUUAGCUUGUUGGCGGGGUAACGGCCCACCAAGGCGACGAUGCCUAGGGGUUCUGAGAGGAAGGUCCCCCACACUGGUACUGAGACACGGACCAGACUCCUACGGGAGGCAGCAGUGAGGAAUAUUGGUCAAUGGGCGAGAGCCUGAACCAGCCAAGUCGCGUGAGGGACGACGGCCCUACGGGUUGUAAACCUCUUUUGCCGGGGGACAAACGGCGGCACGCGUGCCGUCCUGAGGGUACCCGGAGAAAAAGCAUCGGCUAACUCCGUGCCAGCAGCCGCGGUAAUACGGAGGAUGCGAGCGUUAUCCGGAUUUAUUGGGUUUAAAGGGUGCGUAGGCGGGAUGCCAAGUCAGCGGUCAAAUACGGGGGCUCAACCUGCGUCCGCCGUUGAAACUGGCGUUCUUGAGUGGGCGAGAAGUACGCGGAAUGCGUGGUGUAGCGGUGAAAUGCAUAGAUAUCACGCAGAACCCCGAUUGCGAAGGCAGCGUACCGGCGCCCAACUGACGCUGAAGCACGAAAGCGUGGGUAUCGAACAGGAUUAGAUACCCUGGUAGUCCACGCAGUAAACGAUGAACACUAAUUGUCCGGCGGGGUUUGCCGCUGG